GUGCCAGCCGCCGCGGUAAUACGAAGGGGGCUAGCGUUGCUCGGAAUUACUGGGCGUAAAGGGAGCGUAGGCGGACAUUUAAGUCAGAGGUGAAAUCCCGGAGCUUAACUUCGGAACUGCCUUUGAUACUGGGUGUCUUGAGUGUGAGAGAGGUAUGUGGAACUCCGAGUGUAGAGGUGAAAUUCGUAGAUAUUCGGAAGAACACCAGUGGCGAAGGCGACAUACUGGCUCAUUACUGACGCUGAGGCUCGAAAGCGUGGGGAGCAAACAGGAUUAGAAACCCUGGUAGUCC
This 292-nucleotide ribosomal RNA is filed under the name uncultured bacterium. RNAcentral's name for it is "partial 16S ribosomal RNA". It matches the Rfam family "Bacterial small subunit ribosomal RNA", at positions 505 to 796 of the family's 1533-position model. The record is from RNAcentral.